RNAcentral lists this ribosomal RNA (491 nucleotides) under uncultured bacterium. RNAcentral's name for it is "partial 16S ribosomal RNA". It matches the Rfam family "Bacterial small subunit ribosomal RNA", at positions 28 to 507 of the family's 1533-position model. The record is from RNAcentral.
GAUGAACGCUAGCUACAGGCUUAACACAUGCAAGUCGAGGGGAAACGAUGAGAGAGCUUGCUCUCUUAGUCGUCGACCGGCGCACGGGUGAGUAACGCGUAUCCAACCUGCCUCUGACCAAGGGAUAACCCGUCGAAAGUCGGACUAAUACCUUAUGCAGUCGUCGGAAGUCAUCUGAUGACGACGAAAGAUUUCAUCGGUGAGAGAUGGGGAUGCGUCUGAUUAGCUUGUUGGCGGGGUAACGGCCCACCAAGGCGACGAUCAGUAGGGGUUCUGAGAGGAAGGUCCCCCACAUUGGAACUGAGACACGGUCCAAACUCCUACGGGAGGCAGCAGUGAGGAAUAUUGGGCAAUGGGCGUAAGCCUGAACCAGCCAAGUAGCGUGCAGGAUGACGGCCCUAUGGGUUGUAAACUGCUUUUAUGCGGGGAUAAAGUGAGGGACGUGUCCUUCAUUGCAGGUACCGCAUGAAUAAGGACCGGCUAAUUCCGUG